UAUACUUGGCUCCUAGUUCUCCCUCCUUUCCAUUUCUCAUGGUUACUCUCCAUCCUGCUGACCAACUGCAGAGGUAGGGAGGGCCAUUCUAAACAUCAGGCUCCUGCAGUGACAACAAUCCCCAGCCUUCUCACAGGGGAGAGCAGCACCACUGCUUCUCAGCCCAAGCUGCCUUCCUCUUGUGUUUCUCCCACUAGUACAGAGUCAGUUCAGUCACUCAGUCAUGUCCAACUCUUUGCUACCCCAUGGACUGCAGCACGCCAGGCCUCCCUGUCCAUCACCAACUCCUGGAGUUUACUCAAACUCAUGUCCAUUGAGUCGGUGAUGCCAUCCAUCUCAUCCUCUGUCGUACCCUUCUCCUCCUGCCUUCAAUCUUUCGCAGCAUCAGGGUCUUUUCAGAUGAGUCAGUUCUUUGCAUCAGGUGGCCAAAGUAUUGGAGUUUCAGAGUAGUAUCUAUUACAGACUGUUUAUAGAAUAAAGCAUUGGGUGGAGGCAAAAAAGUUUAUUCAGAAGUGAAUCCCAAUAACUUGAAAGUAGGAAAUAACAGUCAGAGAAGGAAAUGGCAACCCACUUCAGUAUUCUUGCCUGGAAAAUUCCAUGGACAGAGGAGCCUGAUGGGCUCCAGUCCAUGGGGUCACAAAGAGUUGGACAUGACUGAGCACGCAUGCACACACAAAAAUACUCAAAAUAGCUCAGAGUGUGUCUGGUACAGAUAAACUGCUAUAUGAGUCUCCUACAAAGAGGAGAGGGAUUAUUUUGGCUGAAGUGAUCUGGGAAAGCUUCAUGAUGUAGAAAACAGCAUUUAACUUGCUGCCUGAAGCAGAGAGAGGAUUUUAAUUCGUGAAACUGGAAAGAGAGAGUGAUCCACAUGCAGGAGUUAGCAUGCAUAAAACUGCUGGAACCUCUGUGUAAUGAUGAGAAUAUGGGAAUGAUCCAUUAGAGAUGAAAAUGAUGAUGAAGAUGAAGAUGGGUGAGGAGAAGGGGUUGAAUUAUGAUAUACUGUGGAAACUUCAUCCCUACUGGAAAGAGACCAAGUUUCAGCAGUCAGAUGAAAUGACUCCCUGUGUUAAACAUCUAGGGUCUGAACUGGAUUUUAAACCAGUUUCACUAAUAAGUUACAUGCUUCUGGCACAAAUUAGAAGUAAAUGCAGGAAAAAAAAAAAAGCAUACUUAUCAACUAAUCAGGUCAGGAAGCAACAGUUAGAACUGGACAUGGAACAACAGACUGGUUCCAAAUAGGAAAAGGCUGUAUAUUGUCACCCUGCUUAUUUAACUGAUAUGCAGAGUACAUCAUGAGAAACGCUGGGCUGGAAGAAGCAUAAGCUGGAAUCAAGAUUGCUGGGAGAAAUAUCAAUAACCUCAAAU
Molecule: long non-coding RNA, 1365 nt
Filed under: Bos indicus x Bos taurus (hybrid cattle)
Lineage: Eukaryota; Metazoa; Chordata; Mammalia; Artiodactyla; Bovidae
Description: lncRNA (ENSBIXG00000019836.1)
Source: RNAcentral